Molecule: non-coding RNA, 250 nt
Filed under: Symbiodinium microadriaticum
Lineage: Eukaryota; Dinophyceae; Suessiales; Symbiodiniaceae
Description: Eukaryotic large subunit ribosomal RNA
Rfam family: Eukaryotic large subunit ribosomal RNA
Source: Rfam by way of RNAcentral
GUAAGGGAAGUCGGCAAAGUAGAUCCGUAACUUCGGGAAAAGGAUUGGCUCUGAGGGUUGGGCACAGAGGUCCUCGUCUUGAUGUCUGAGCUGGGGCAGAAGCUACUUGACGCCUCUGGUGGAGAGUGGAAUCUUGCAUGGCGAAGACUGCCGGACAUGGAAUGCUCUUCGGGGCGUUCCCCGUGCAGCGAACAACCAUCUCAGAUCUGGAGAAGACAAGGGUGUUGUCUGAACAUUCAAAGGUCCGUGC